AUGGCGACCGGCGUACGGGUGAGUAACGCGUAUCCAACCUGCCCUUUACUAUGGGACAGCCCGUCGAAAGGCGGAUUAAUACCGUAUGUUGUCAUGUUGAUGCAUAUUUUCAUGACCAAAGGCUUCGGCCGGUAAAGGAUGGGGAUGCGUCUGAUUAGCUUGCCGGCGGGGUAACGGCCCACCGGGGCGACGAUCAGUAGGGGUUCUGAGAGGAAGGUCCCCACAUUGGAACUGAGACACGGUCCAAACUCCUACGGGAGGCAGCAG
RNAcentral lists this ribosomal RNA (267 nucleotides) under uncultured bacterium. RNAcentral's name for it is "partial 16S ribosomal RNA". It matches the Rfam family "Bacterial small subunit ribosomal RNA", at positions 88 to 354 of the family's 1533-position model. The record is from RNAcentral.